AACUGAAUUUUUAUCACUGUAUCGUUUCUUAUUUUUCAUUGGAAUUACAAACAGAAUGAAUGUCCUGAGCCCGAGCCAGGCUGUGACUUUGAAGCAGUGGAAGAAGCUAAGGAGCCAUGGAAAACACUUAAAGUGACUCCACAGGCACCCCAAGUAUUUACCAUACAGAUGGAACAAAUAGCACCAUUUGAUCGAGAGGUCGUACUUUGUCAAAUGCUCUCAAGUAGGAUCGCGGACUGUAACAGCAAAGAUUAUCUAUACUGUAGUCGUCCAAGUUGAACCAAAUUCUUCGCCAGUCACCUGUACCUGUGCCAAG
Molecule: long non-coding RNA, 316 nt
Organism: Pocillopora damicornis (cauliflower coral)
Lineage: Eukaryota; Metazoa; Cnidaria; Anthozoa; Scleractinia; Pocilloporidae
Source: RefSeq, a predicted model, not a curated record